AGAGUUUGAUCCUGGCUCAGGAUGAACGCUGGCGGCGUGCUUAACACAUGCAAGUCGAACGAUCCUUCGGGAUAGUGGCGGACGGGUGAGUAACGCGUGGGAAUCUGCCCUCAGGAGGGGGAUAACGGCUGGAAACGGCCGCUAAUACCCCAUAUGCCGAGAGGUGAAAUGAAUUUCGCCUGAGGAUGAGCCCGCGUCUGAUUAGCUAGUUGGUGGGGUAAAGGCCUACCAAGGCGACGAUCAGUAGCUGGUCUGAGAGGAUGAUCAGCCACACUGGGACUGAGACACGGCCCAGACUCCUACGGGAGGCAGCAGUGGGGAAUUUUCCGCAAUGGGCGAAAGCCUGACGGAGCAACGCCGCGUGAGGGAUGAAGGCCUCUGGGCUGUAAACCUCUUUUCUCAAGGAAGAAGAACUGACGGUACUUGAGGAAUAAGCCACGGCUAAUUCCGUGCCAGCAGCCGCGGUAAUACGGGAGUGGCAAGCGUUAUCCGGAAUUAUUGGGCGUAAAGCGUCCGCAGGCGGCCUUGUAAGUCUGUUGUUAAAGCGUGGAGCUCAACUCCAUUUAAGCAAUGGAAACUACAAGGCUGGAGUGUGGUAGGGGCAGAGGGAAUUCCCGGUGUAGCGGUGAAAUGCGUAGAUAUCGGGAAGAACACCAGUGGCGAAGGCGCUCUGCUGGGCCAUAACUGACGCUCAUGGACGAAAGCCAGGGGAGCGAAAGGGAUUAGAUACCCCUGUAGUCCUGGCCGUAAACGAUGAACACUAGGUGUCGGGGGAAUCGACCCCCUCGGUGUCGUAGCCAACGCGUUAAGUGUUCCGCCUGGGGAGUACGCACGCAAGUGUGAAACUCAAAGGAAUUGACGGGGGCCCGCACAAGCGGUGGAGUAUGUGGUUUAAUUCGAUGCAACGCGAAGAACCUUACCAGGGUUUGACAUCCUGCGAAUCCCUUGGAAACGAGGGAGUGCCUUCGGGAGCGCAGUGACAGGUGGUGCAUGGCUGUCGUCAGCUCGUGUCGUGAGAUGUUGGGUUAAGUCCCGCAACGAGCGCAACCCACGUCUUUAGUUGCCAGCAUUCAGUUGGGCACUCUAGAGAGACCGCCGGUGAUAAACCGGAGGAAGGUGUGGAUGACGUCAAGUCAUCAUGCCCCUUACAUCCUGGGCUACACACGUACUACAAUGCUACGGACAAAGGGCAGCAAGCUCGCGAGAGUUAGCAAAUCCCAUAAACCGUGGCUCAGUUCAGAUCGUAGGCUGCAACUCGCCUACGUGAAGGAGGAAUCGCUAGUAAUCGCAGGUCAGCAUACUGCGGUGAAUACGUUCCCGGGCCUUGUACACACCGCCCGUCACACCAUGGAAGUUGGCCAUGCCCGAAGUCGUUACUCCAACCCUUGUGGAGGAGGACGCCGAAGGUGGGGCUGAUGACUGGGGUGAAGUCGUAACAAGGUA
Molecule: ribosomal RNA, 1443 nt
Filed under: metagenome
Description: bacterial SSU rRNA
Rfam family: Bacterial small subunit ribosomal RNA
Source: RNAcentral